GACGAACGCUGGCGGCGUGCUUAACACAUGCAAGUCGAACGGAAAGGCCCCAGCUUGCUGGGGUACUCGAGUGGCGAACGGGUGAGUAACACGUGGGUGAUCUGCCCUGCACUCUGGGAUAAGCCUGGGAAGCUGGGUCUAAUACCGGAUAGGACCGUGCUUUAGUGUGUGCGGUGGAAAGUUUUUCGGUGCAGGAUGAGCCCGCGGCCUAUCAGCUUGUUGGUGGGGUAAUGGCCUACCAAGGCGGCGACGGGUAGCCGGCCUGAGAGGGUGUACGGCCACAUUGGGACUGAGACACGGCCCAGACUCCUACGGGAGGCAGCAGUGGGGAAUAUUGCACAAUGGGCGCAAGCCUGAUGCAGCGACGCCGCGUGGGGGAUGACGGCCUUCGGGUUGUAAACCCCUUUCGGCAGGGACGAAGCUUUUGUGACGGUACCUGCAUAAGAAGCACCGGCUAACUACGUG
Molecule: ribosomal RNA, 465 nt
Filed under: uncultured bacterium
Lineage: Bacteria
Description: partial 16S ribosomal RNA
Rfam family: Bacterial small subunit ribosomal RNA
Source: RNAcentral